AGAAUAACUAAGGAAAAGUGGUUAACACCAGGGAAGCUCUCUACAGAAAAUAGGGACUUUGGAAUGUAAUUGCCACAGAGUUGAAUAUUCCUCCUUAGAACAGAGCUUGGUGGGUUUCCUGAUUCCAAGAUGAGGGGGUAGAAUCCGAAGAUCUCCAAGGCCUUGAUGAGUGCUACCAGUCUGCAAAUUCCCAAGCCAAGUUCU
This 204-nucleotide long non-coding RNA is filed under the name Homo sapiens (human). RNAcentral describes it as "non-protein coding PTCSC2:2". Lineage: Eukaryota; Metazoa; Chordata; Mammalia; Primates; Hominidae. The record is from RNAcentral.